RNAcentral lists this ribosomal RNA (254 nucleotides) under uncultured bacterium. RNAcentral's name for it is "partial 16S ribosomal RNA". It matches the Rfam family "Bacterial small subunit ribosomal RNA", at positions 524 to 776 of the family's 1533-position model. The record is from RNAcentral.
UACGUAGGGUGCGAGCGUUAAUCGGAAUUACUGGGCGUAAAGCGUGCGCAGGCGGUUUUGUAAGCCAGAUGUGAAAUCCCCGGGCUUAACCUGGGAAUGGCAUUUGGGACUGCAAGGCUGGAGUUUGGCAGAGGAGACUGGAAUUCCUGGUGUAGCAGUGAAAUGCGUAGAUAUCAGGAGGAAUACCGAUGGCGAAGGCAGGUCUCUGGGCUGAAACUGACGCUCAUGACACGAAAGCGUGGGGAGCAAACAGG